Erigeron canadensis is the source of this 375-nucleotide long non-coding RNA. RefSeq lists it as uncharacterized. Lineage: Eukaryota; Viridiplantae; Streptophyta; Magnoliopsida; Asterales; Asteraceae. The record is from RefSeq and is a predicted model, not a curated record. The transcript is spliced from 3 exons.
UUCCUUUUUCUUCUACUUCACCGACCAACUAGAAAUCUCCAUGAAUCCAUCAUAAAUACAUCAAAUCUUGUGUUUUUAAUAUCAAACUAACUAAAUUUAAUAACCCUAAUAAUAAAAAUCAUUAUUCUUCGAAGGAACUUAGAGAUUGAAGGUGUUUAUCCAAAUUGUGCCCUAAAAUCCGGAUUUACAAGUCUUGGAGUGUUUUGGUCGUGAUCAUUGUGCUCCCCGCUUACCCGCUUAGUCACCUACUACAAACGCUUAAGGCAAAGGUGAACAGGUUAACCAAAGACGUAUUGGGUGAUGAUUGAUUUAAUUGCAUGCUAGGAUUGGACUUGGACCUUAUCAUGGAUCCGUGAUUCAUAGUUCCCGCUCAUG